RNAcentral lists this long non-coding RNA (667 nucleotides) under Salvator merianae (Argentine black and white tegu). RNAcentral's name for it is "lncRNA (ENSSMRG00000007450.1)". Lineage: Eukaryota; Metazoa; Chordata; Lepidosauria; Squamata; Teiidae. The record is from RNAcentral.
AUGCAAAUGUGGGAAAUGGGGAACACAUACUCAGUCUCCUCCAAUACAGAUUAAAGUUAUGAUGUGGGAACCGCACCGGAAAAAGCUUAAGUGCCCAAAAGUGUAUAGGAGAUAUUCCAUUACUUCUGAGUAACCACCAAGCAGAUUCUAUGUGUUGUCAUCCCUUGAACCACCAAAGGUCCAGACCAUCAGUGGGAAACAACAUUGAAACCUCAGACACCCUUACAGUUGUCCACCGUGACUAAAAUAUUGGUCAAAUGAGGAACAGUACACCAGGUUUUGGUUUCCAUCAAGGGUAUGCUGAGGAAACGUAAGAAGUACUUUCUGAAGAUGUAGUUUGGUUCUGGCAGAUUAAGCACACAUCUGUAGCUGCUAUACUGGAAAAGGAAGGAACCACCCCUCAAACCCUCAAAGAUCCUUUGGAAAACAACAAUACCGAACUGAAACCAAACAACCAAAGCCAAUAUGAAACAUUGCAUUAUAUUUUAAUUUUAUAUUACAGCAUAUUUGAAUGAAACAUUCUGGCAGCUUGUGCUAACUGCUACAUUUUUCAGCAAUUGCCAUAAUUGCAUGAGCAGAGUAAGUAUUUUGGGUAAAAUAACCUUUGAUGUCAUAUGAUCAUAGCAAAGCAGAAUAGCUUGCUAUAAAAUGAUAAUGGAGGUAAACA